GUCUAUGGCCAUGCCACCCUGAACAAGCCCGAUCUCAUCUGAUCUCAGAAGCUAAGCAGAGUUGGGCCGGGUUAGUACUUGAAUAAGAGACCACCUAGGAAGACCAGGUGCUGUAGACA
This 119-nucleotide ribosomal RNA is filed under the name Pteropus alecto (black flying fox). The record is from RNAcentral. Lineage: Eukaryota; Metazoa; Chordata; Mammalia; Chiroptera; Pteropodidae.